GACCUGGCAGCAUAAUGCGUAAUGUGUCGGUGUUUUAUUUAGAACAGGCCGAAGAUCCCCGUUCGAUUCGGGGUCAGGUCG
This is a non-coding RNA of Mycena vulgaris, 81 nucleotides long. The record is from the annotation of a GenBank genome assembly. NCBI's taxonomy places the organism in Eukaryota, Fungi, Basidiomycota, Agaricomycetes, Agaricales, Mycenaceae.